GGUGGCUCAGUGAUAGAGUGCUUGCCUUGCAUGCAUGAGGUCCUGGGUUCAAUUCCUCAGCACCA
This 65-nucleotide transfer RNA is filed under the name Dipodomys ordii (Ord's kangaroo rat). It matches the Rfam family "tRNA". Rfam says of the family: Transfer RNA (tRNA) molecules are approximately 80 nucleotides in length. Their secondary structure includes four short double-helical elements and three loops (D, anti-codon, and T loops). Lineage: Eukaryota; Metazoa; Chordata; Mammalia; Rodentia; Heteromyidae. The record is from Rfam by way of RNAcentral.